CUUUCACUGUGAUAUUGUUUUUUUUUAUUCAUAGUUUGUGCACCAUUAGUUAUAAUCUAAUAAAAAAAAUGAACAAAAAAGUGUGUGUAUAUGGAGUUCAAUUGGUUCAUGUUUAUUGUCUUGCUUCUUAGGAUUUUUUAUUUGUUUCAUGAUAGAGCAGUAUAUGAAGUUCAAUUGAAUGGGCCUUUUAAUAGAUGUACAUUAUACUUUGCUAACUAUAUAUCAAUUACAAAUGGACAUGUAUAGUGGUUUGGCCAGUCGUUUUAAUGAUAUAACAAUUAUGUUGGGCUUAUGAAAGGUAAUAACCUCAUGCUGUGGUGGUGAUGUUGCUGGUUGUUAACUUGCACUACCCAGUGUUGCUUCUCGUUCGGUAUGUUUUUUUUCUUCUUUUCUUUGUUACUUCUCUGUCAUAUGUCUGGUGAUGACGCGUGCAUAGUUUCAUUGGAAAGGUGUACGCGCUUUUAUAUCUUUCAUCUUCUUCAUUUGUUCAGCCUCCUUUCUUCGUGUCUUUUCUCUUCUUGAUGUCAGUUCUUUAAGGGAAUAUUAGCAGGAGGGACUGCGAAGAUUGUGGUGAAUGGGUCAACCGGGUUUCAGCAAAAUCUGGGAAGCUAUGAACGUAUGCAAGAAUGUUAUUGGGCAGAGAGAACAAGAAAUGCAAACUUUUACUUUGCUACUACUGCAAUGGCUCUUGCUUGCUUUAAGGUUGGUUAGUCUUUGGGUUUGAAUUCCUAUUGGAAGCUUAGAGAUUAAAAUAUACUCUUUGAUAUCGGUUCAAGCAAAGCCGGCAUGUCUAUUUUUAUAUAGAAUUGAACACAUCAAGCUGUAAGUGGGUUGUGUUACUUGAACCGAACAUGAUAUAUUGAUAAAAAAAGAAAUUUUGAACAACGGGCAUGAUGUUCCUUUUUAGAUAUCAAAUGUGGAACUGUUU
Long non-coding RNA from Helianthus annuus (common sunflower), 928 nucleotides. RefSeq lists it as uncharacterized. The transcript is spliced from 3 exons. The record is from RefSeq and is a predicted model, not a curated record. NCBI's taxonomy places the organism in Eukaryota, Viridiplantae, Streptophyta, Magnoliopsida, Asterales, Asteraceae.